AUUCCCCUAGUAACUGCGAGUGAAGCGGGAAAAGCUCAAAUUUGUAAUCUGGCGGCCUUCGGUCGUCCGAGUUGUAAUCUAGAGAAGUGCUUUCCGCGCUGGACCGUGUACAAGUCUCCUGGAACGGAGCGUCGUAGAGGGUGAGAAUCCCGUCUUUGACACGGACUACCAGUGCUCUGUGAUGCGCUCUCGAAGAGUCGAGUUGUUUGGGAAUGCAGCUCAAAAUGGGAGGUGAAUUCCUUCUAAAGCUAAAUAUUGGCGAGAGACCGAUAGCGAACAAGUACCGUGAGGGAAAGAUGAAAAGCACUUUGGAAAGAGAGUUAAACAGUACGUGAAAUUGUUGAAAGGGAAACGCUUGAAGUCAGUCGCGUCCGCCGAGACUCAGCCUUGCCUUCUGGCUUGGUGUACUUCUCGGUGGACGGGCCAGCAUCAAUUUUGACCGCCGGACAAGGGCGGGUGGAAAACCCGUGCGCGUAAUGAAAGUGAAAGUUGGGACCCCUGUCGUGGGGGGCACCGACGCCCGGACCAGACCUUCUGUGACGGAUCUGCGGUAGAGCGUGUAUGUUGGGACCCGAAAGAUGGUGAACUAUGCCUGAAUAGGGUGAAGCCAGAGGAAACUCUGGUGGAGGCUCGUAGCGAUUCUGACGUGCAAAUCGAUCGUCAAAUUUGGGUAUAGGGGCGAAAGACUAAUCGAACCAU
This 699-nucleotide ribosomal RNA is filed under the name Lentinellus omphalodes. RNAcentral describes it as "eukaryotic LSU rRNA". It matches the Rfam family "Eukaryotic large subunit ribosomal RNA", at positions 74 to 943 of the family's 3401-position model. Lineage: Eukaryota; Fungi; Basidiomycota; Agaricomycetes; Russulales; Auriscalpiaceae. The record is from RNAcentral.